CAGCUUGAGCGCCGAAUUCAGUUGUGUUUUACGGGUAUCCACGAGCGGUUCGGUUUUACAGACGAACUGGCGCAUGUUGGACGGCAGCGAAACGACGGACGACGCGACGGUGUAAAGGUGGCAAAGACGACGAGACGCGCAGUGUACCGUGGCGCUACGAAUUGUGUGCAAAGUGUAGAGAAACAAAACGAAAUAGUAAUAAUAAAUUUUUUUUUGUGUGAAAGAGUGGUGUGACGCAGCAUACCUUUUGGAGUCAAAGAAUUGCUGGGCUCACCCAAGAGCUGCAGAAGAAGCAAUUUCACAAAAUCACCAAAGAAUAUCGCUUUCUGUGUAAAGGCAGCAAAAGUUAACUACAGGCAAUGCGGCAGCCAGCCAUAUUAACAUUUCAACAACGUGCACAGCAAUAGGCAAGCGCAGUGGCUAA
RNAcentral lists this long non-coding RNA (424 nucleotides) under Bactrocera latifrons. Its description in RNAcentral is "uncharacterized LOC108966769, transcript variant X1". The record is from RNAcentral. Lineage: Eukaryota; Metazoa; Arthropoda; Insecta; Diptera; Tephritidae.